RNAcentral lists this unclassified non-coding RNA (233 nucleotides) under uncultured fungus. Its description in RNAcentral is "sequence contains ITS1, 5.8S rRNA gene". The stretch from base 185 to 233 matches the Rfam family "5.8S ribosomal RNA", at positions 1 to 49 of the family's 154-position model. The record is from RNAcentral. Lineage: Eukaryota; Fungi.
UCUCCGUAGGUGAACCUGCGGAGGGCUCAUUACAAGAGCGAGGGCCCUCGUGGCCCGAACCUCCAACCCCAUGUUGUCCGACUCUGUUGCCUCGGGGGCGACCCGGCCUUCGGGCGUCUUGGGGCCCCCGGUGGACCACUCAACACUGCAUCUUUGCGUCUGAGUAAAUAUUUGAAUCAAUCAAAACUUUCAACAACGGAUCUCUUGGUUCCAGCAUCGAUGAAGAACGCAGC